AAAAAAAUAAGCUAAUAAAGCUCUUAGGUUCAUACCCUAAAUAUAAAGGUAAAAUCCUUUUUUUUUUA
RNAcentral lists this transfer RNA (68 nucleotides) under Pselaphinae sp. 3 EF-2015. RNAcentral's name for it is "tRNA-Met". It matches the Rfam family "tRNA". Rfam says of the family: Transfer RNA (tRNA) molecules are approximately 80 nucleotides in length. Their secondary structure includes four short double-helical elements and three loops (D, anti-codon, and T loops). The record is from RNAcentral. Lineage: Eukaryota; Metazoa; Arthropoda; Insecta; Coleoptera; Staphylinidae.